GAGGAAAAGAAAUCAACCGAGAUUCCCCCAGUAGCGGCGAGCGAACGGGGAGCAGCCCAGAGCCUGAAUCAGUGUGUGUGUUAGUGGAAGCGUCUGGAAAGGCGCGCGAUACAGGGUGACAGCCCCGUACACAAAAAUGCACAUGCUGUGAGCUCGAUGAGUAGGGCGGGACACGUGGUAUCCUGUCUGAAUAUGGGGGGACCAUCCUCCAAGGCUAAAUACUCCUGACUGACCGAUAGUGAACCAGUACCGUGAGGGAAAGGCGAAAAGAACCCCGGCGAGGGGAGUGAAAAAGAACCUGAAACCGUGUACGUACAAGCAGUGGGAGCACGCUUAGGCGUGUGACUGCGUACCUUUUGUAUAAUGGGUCAGCGACUUAUAUUCUGUAGCAAGGUUAACCGAAUAGGGGAGCCGAAGGGAAACCGAGUCUUAACUGGGCGUUAAGUUGCAGGGUAUAGACCCGAAACCCGGUGAUCUAGCCAUGGGCAGGUUGAAGGUUGGGUAACACUAACUGGAGGACCGAACCGACUAAUGUUGAAAAAUUAGCGGAUGACUUGUGGCUGGGGGUGAAAGGCCAAUCAAACCGGGAGAUAGCUGGUUCUCCCCGAAAGCUAUUUAGGUAGCGCCUCGUGAAUUCAUCUCCGGGGGUAGAGCACUGUUUCGGCAAGGGGGUCAUCCCGACUUACCAACCCGAUGCAAACUGCGAAUACCGGAGAAUGUUAUCACGGGAGACACACGGCGGGUGCUAACGUCCGUCGUGAAGAGGGAAACAACCCAGACCGCCAGCUAAGGUCCCAAAGUCAUGGUUAAGUGGGAAACGAUGUGGGAAGGCCCAGACAGCCAGGAUGUUGGCUUAGAAGCAGCCAUCAUUUAAAGAAAGCGUAAUAGCUCACUGGUCGAGUCGGCC
Molecule: ribosomal RNA, 907 nt
Filed under: Escherichia coli
Lineage: Bacteria; Pseudomonadati; Pseudomonadota; Gammaproteobacteria; Enterobacterales; Enterobacteriaceae
Description: partial 23S ribosomal RNA
Rfam family: Bacterial large subunit ribosomal RNA
Source: RNAcentral